CCUGGCGGCACUAGCGCGGUGGUCCCACCUGACCCCAGCCGAACUCAGAAGUGAAACGCCGUAGCGCCGAUGGUAGUGUGGGGUCUCCCCAUGCGAGAGUAGGGAACUGCCAGGC
Molecule: ribosomal RNA, 115 nt
Filed under: Salmonella enterica subsp. enterica serovar Typhimurium
Lineage: Bacteria; Pseudomonadati; Pseudomonadota; Gammaproteobacteria; Enterobacterales; Enterobacteriaceae
Source: RNAcentral